GAUGAACGCUGGCGGCGUGCCUAAUACAUGCAAGUCGAGCGAACAGACGAGGUGCUUGCUCCUCUGACGUUAGCGGCGGACGGGUGAGUAACACGUGGAUAACCUACCUAUAAGACUGGGAUAACUUCGGGAAACCGGAGCUAAUACCGGAUAAUAUAUUGAACCGCAUGGUUCAAUAGUGAAAGACGGUUUUGCUGUCCCCUAUAGAUGUAUCCACGCCUCUUUAGCUAGUUGGUAAGGUAACGGCUUACCAAGGCAACGUUGCUAAUCCGACCUGGGAGGGUGAUCGGCCACGCUGGAACUGAGCCACGGUCCAGACUCCUACGGAAGGCACCAGUAGGGAAUCUUCCGCAAUGGGCGAAAGCUUACCGGAGCAACGCGGCGUGAGUGAUGAAGGUCUUCGGAUCGUAAAACUCUGUUAUUAGGGAAGAACAAAUGUGUAAGUAAAUAUGCACGACUUGACGGUACCUAAUCAGAAAGCCACGGCUAACUACGUG
Molecule: ribosomal RNA, 497 nt
Filed under: uncultured bacterium
Lineage: Bacteria
Description: partial 16S ribosomal RNA
Rfam family: Bacterial small subunit ribosomal RNA
Source: RNAcentral